Molecule: long non-coding RNA, 773 nt
Organism: Panicum virgatum (switchgrass)
Lineage: Eukaryota; Viridiplantae; Streptophyta; Magnoliopsida; Poales; Poaceae
Exons: 3
Source: RefSeq, a predicted model, not a curated record
GAUUUAUUUUAGGUAUAUGCUUUAGGAUUGCGUGUUAACCAUCUAAAUUUUAUGAUCUUAGUUAAUCCAGUAGCCCUUUUGUUUCAGGUUGCCUAUAUGAUUGAUAUAUGAGGUUAUUACUUUUUUAUAAAUUGCUGAGCAUUGGCCUCUUUCCCUAUAUAUGUAGGUUGGUGAUCUUGGCUUUUUGAAAGUGAAGUGUCAGACUCUGAUCUCUGGUGCUGUCAGGGUAACACUUCCAUGGAUGGCACAGAGCUUCUAAAGGGUAGUAGUAGCUUGGUCUCUGAAAAGGUUGUUGUGUUUACUUUUGGGAUUGUUCUCUGGGAGCUCGACCUAUCAACUCACCUUAAGGUUGGGGUAGUCACCGAAAACCCAGUGAUUAUUUCUUUUGUCGGAGACAAGCUAUGAAACAGUGCAUGAACCGGAUACUGAGGCUGCCAGUUAUUCUCUUCUUCGGAAGCAAAUGUUGCUUGAAGUGAAAUAUUCUCGCUUAAGAACAAUCUCUACUACGAUGCCUGGUGUGUUACCAAUCCUCUAUUUAUAUAGAGUUACAUAAUAUGCAAUCCUUUUUCUAUCAUGUUCUCAUAAGUAGUUAGUCUUAUAAGUAGUUUGUAUAUUAACCAAUCCUUUCAUGCGAAAUGUUCAUUAAUCAUCUUGAUGUUGAUGGAAAUUGAUUGCGUAUAACUAAUGCGCAUGAUGUAUACUGAAACUACUCUUGUAUCAAGUAAUCUUCUCUUGUAUUGAUGUACAUGAUAUAUAUUAGUAGCAAAUUUGUA